AGCCCGCCGAGGGCGGGCGGGGAGCAGGAUGCACGCCCGUCGAGGCGGGACGGGCCGCCCGGGAGUGCCGCGCUCUGCCCGCCGCCCGGCACUGAGGGACGGCGCAGUGCCCGCCAGGCUCUGCGGCGAGCGCCUUCAGUGAUUUCAGUGUUGGUACAGCCUCUUUGCUUGCUCAGAGGGCUAGAAGGUCUCAUCUGCUGUUCCUAGAAUGAAAUUUAGUGUGAAACAGCUCAGCCACAGCCACACUCACUGAAAACUGAGGUUAAAUUGCAAGGAAGUAUCAGCACCACUGGGGUCCGUGAUCCUCAGCAAUGUUCCUUUUAUUGGGAGCUGGAUUAAGUCACCACCCACACACAACAAAAGGACCCUUUGGAAUGUCAACAGCAUCACUGGCACUUGUGGGAAGGAAGAGGAAUAAUGUGGCUCUGCUUCAGCACACUUUUGAUCCCAGUUUGGACAAGUUUUGUAUCUUCGAUAUGUGCAGUCCUGCUGAAUAGAUUGAUAUCAAUCCUACUGCUACAGACAUUUCUGUGGAAGAGAUUGUCGGGGGGAAACAGGAAGAGAACAAGACUCAGUGAGAGGAGGAAUAAGAGCUGGAAAGAAUGCUAGGGAGCGUCCACACAGAGCCUUCGAUAGCAUAACUGUUACCAGGCACUUGUGAACUAGAAUGUCUCCCCAACAAUUCUCCUGCACAGCAGCUCUGUAAAGCAGCCCUGCAGGCAACAGCAUGCAGGAAAGAAGAUAAAUGAUGCAACACAUGCAAAUGUCCACUAAGGAGAAAAUCCUAGCUCUGAAAAAUAACAGGUACAUGUAUAGCAAUCUCCAUGUGAUAUUUCUUAGUUUGCCUGCAUAAAUUCAGAACUAAGUAAAUCUUGUUCAUUCCUGUAUUUUUUUCUAGUUGAUUGUUUUCCAAGCAAUAAAGAAGUAGCACUCUGUUCACAUAAUCUUGUGAGUGAUACAAUAACAUCAUCAAGCAAAGGAAAGAAAGGCAGGAAGAGAGAGGCUAUUUACCAGUUGAGAACAGCAAUACAACAAUGUUCUAAUGGACUAUUACAAAAUCAAUCUCCAUGUGCCUUUUGGUAGUGCCUUUUCCUAAACAGGUUUGAAGCAAUGGCAUUCUUGCAGAGAAAGUUAGGAUCAUAAAAGUGUGGCUGUGAGGACAGUCUACAUGGUGAACAGAGAUCUCACACUUCACUGAUACACCUCUGUUCCAUGUAUCACUUGGUAUUACUGUUUUUAAUGCAAUUUAUCCAUGACUAGACUUUGUUGUCUUGUGGUCCUACCCCUCUGACAGAAACAGUCAUUCCCUCCUUCUGGCAUAUCCCUACAGCACAGAAUACAUGUAUGUAGAGUAUGUGAACUGUUUUCAUGUAAAUAUUAAAGGAUUCUGACAAAGGGAGUUGGGUGCUAACUGUUCCUUGAUGCUUCCCAUCCCCGAAAAGGAGGCUGGCCUUUUGUCUCUACAGUCAUGACCCAGGCAUGUAUAAUGUCACCCACUUUAUUUUUGGAUAAAUAUUAUUUCUUGAGCUUCAGUCAAAGUCCAAUUCUACUGGCAGUGGAUGGAGAUGCAUAUGUACUUUUGCACAUGUGAAGACUAACAGAGUUGUUUUUCUGCUGCUAUAGCAAGAUAGGUAUACGAGUAGGCAUUAUCAUGCUGUGGCCAAGUGACAUAAAACUCCUCUAAUGUGGGAGAUUUUAUUUUUUUAACUAGCAGAAGAAAAAUAAACAGGGGUUUUCCAUAUGGGAUGUUAUUUUUUAAAAUAACUCAAUGAAAGGGUGGAAUUAGUUUGACUGGUAUUCACCAUUAUAUAUCCUUGCAAUAUAAACAAAAUAUGAAAAAAAAUCAGGCUAGGAGAAACAUUUUAGGUACAUAAAUGUACAACAUUUUAAGUGCAAAUGCUAACCACAGCAUGCAUCUCCACCACAGUAUCAAUCACAGACACUAAUUCAGUGUACGAUUAGAUUUUCUAAGUUUUUACAAAAGGUUUACUUCCAAAGGAUAACAAAAUGUUUCCAGAGCCAGUAGAUGAAAUCUACAACUAAGACAAAAAAUAUUCCACCUGGUCCUCUAUGUUGUUAAAGAAAAUGUAGUGGAACACAAGCUGAGGCACUGGACAUUUGGUUCAUAAUCUUAGCCGCUGAUCUUUUAUGUGCAAGUGACAUAAACAGAAGAAAAUAUGCUAUUUCAAUAUGUGGUAAUUUUUUGACCACAUAUUCAUACUGUUUACUCUUUUAUGUAUGCUUUUUUUUUUUAUUCUUUCCAUUCUGAGGGUACAGAUUUUAGAAACAAAUGGUUGUAGGAGGUUCCCUGUAUAGCCUUUUUGUCUGGAAGAGACUUGGUUGUUUCACAAAGCAGAAAAACAUUUUUUCAUUCAGAAAUGGGCUCCAGACCUCAUUAAAUAUAAAACUUUUCAUUUUUCCAAGACAGCAUGCCUUUUCUAUGCUCACUCUUCUGUCAAUUCAUGGAGGUAGUCUGCUUAGCUAUGAGAAGAGUUUGGCAGAGGGAAGGAGGUCUCUAAUAGCAGCAUUCAUUGCUUGAGAAGUCAGUGCAAAAACAGCCUUUGAAAGAAUGAUUCAUUUUCUAAAUGCAAAAAAAAAAAAAAAAAGAAAUUGUGGCACCCAUUGUCUGGUUGCUAUUAGAUGUGAAAGGAACAGGAACCAUAGUUUAGCUGCAUUUGACUAUUAUCACAUCCCAAAGGAAGAACAGAAAUGUAGUAGAGUUUAAGGGAAAGCCUUGGGUCCCAGCCACUCUGUUGGCUGUCUUAUUAAAAUACCCUAGCAGUACUUUUUUCUCUGAGUGUUACAGGCUAUACAGCAAGCCAGGAGAAAGAAGAAAAGGUAGUCUGCUGUGCUUAGCUAUAGAUGGCUGUUAAAUGAGUACUCACUCCUUACUCACUUCUUCCCUUGUUUUAUUUCUCUUUGCUCUUGUGUUUUUAAGGUAUCAUCACGAGCAAGAGAAAUAGUAGGAUUUCUAUCAUAUAACCUCAUCCACAGCUUAACCAGCAAUGCUUUUGCUCAAUAAAGCCAUGGCAUUUUCUUUUUCAUAGUUACUCCAUGCUUUUGGCUUCUGCCAUGUAUAGACCUGUAGGUUGCAAUCAAAAAUCAAAACUAGACACCCACAUUAUAGCGUGGAUACUGGUAGACUAAGAAGGGCCCUUAGCCCUCUUCUGUUAUCCAGAAGACCUGAGAAUAAUUUUUACUCAGUUCCUCAGGAAGUGACAGCCUGUGGAAGCUGCUUGGUGAAUGAAAACAAAACCAUUACCUUUCCUUCAAAAUUGACAACACUGACUAGCCUGAAUUAUUCUUCACUAGCUUUUGCAGUUUUCUUCCAGCAUUUUGUUAUUCUGAUAUAACUACAUUACUGUGGAGUUUGAGAUGAAGAUCUCUCUGCUACAUAUGUGCUAUCACUACACAACUCAGCAGUAAAAACAGCAGUUCAUAGAGUGCAAUUUUGUAUGACAUGUUUUUUAUCUGUGUGUAUGACACAAACUAAAUAUUCUUUAUACAAAUGUGAUUAAUUCAGUUUCUCCAGUUUGUUUAUUAUUGCAAUCUAAUGGUUUGGAUAGCGUAGGGACACAAGUCAGUUUUUCUUCCCUUUUGUACAAGUUGUCAGCAGUUAGGUUGUGUCAGCUGAACUUCGUGACCAAAUCUUUGGUAGUAGGUUGAUAACUCACAAUGCACUUUGUGGUUCCAUAUGUACUCCCUGUGCUACCUUAUGCUGUACAUUCUUUUAUAAAAAGGACACUCAAAAGCACUAGAAAAUGCCAACGGAAAAUGUGAAGCAAAUGUUCAUAGAUUAAAUCCAUGAGAAACCUGGAUGGCCAAUUCAGAGAUAAAGUGCUUCAUUUGUGUAAGUUCCAAACCACACAAAAACUACAUUCAGUAUCUUUUAUGCUUUAUAAGAAGGAAAAAAUAGAAAAAAACAUUACUUUAUGUGCUGUGACUUCAUACAUAUUUAGCUAGUUGGUUUGCACUUUCCAAAAAGUCCCUAAAAAUAAACUGAAAAUAUCUUAAACUACUUAUGGCAAAUAGAAUGGCAGGAAAACUCUAUUGUUUCCAAAUGUGCAUUGAAACAAACGAGUGAACAUGAGUCUCCUCUAUAAGAGAAGGAGUCUAAAUGGAAGAACUUAGUGAACCCUGAAGUCAUAUAAAAGUAACACAGUGAGACUUGUUCGCUUAACAAGAUUUUAUCUGUCAGUACAAAGGCAACACCUCUUGCUAACUUCAGACUAUGUUUCAGAACUCAACUAAUACGCUUCCAACAUGUCACAUUUUUCAGUGAAAAUUGAAUUAAAAAGUAAUACAGGUAGGAUUUAAUACUGGUCUCCUUUUCCAUUUCUGCAUUUUACCAUGUGAAAACAAAGACAGAACAAACGUUUGAAAAGUUAACUGUCUGACCCAUUCAACUGAGUUGACUGUUUUCAACCAUGACCAGGCAAAAAUUCAUGUUAAAUAUGUGGAAGUGUAUUUAUUAAAAGGUGGAAAAAAACUUGGAACUUAGGUUCAGAGACAGACUAAUGACAUUUUGAAUAUAAGUAUUUUUAAAUUCAGGACUUUUCAUUUGCUGCAGCAAAAUGAAAGUGCAAAAACUUAAUCUUUUUCCUCUGGAGGAGAGAAGUUGUGAUACUCUUUGUGGGCCUUUUUAUUUGUUUGCUUUCCAAAGUUAUUUCACUGUUUAACACCCCUACUCCCCAAGUAGUUUGUGUACUUUUCUUUGAUCAGGAAAUCACCAGGGAAUAUCCUCAAUAAAUGAAAAACAGAAAAAAAAAAUGCCAUCUCAGAUAGUUUUCCCCACUUUGGACAUGUAAGUUGCAAAUGAACAUAAUCACACUGACUCUCCAUUUAGGACAGAUAUUGUGUGGUUUCUUGUAAAACUUUGUCACCUUGUCAAGUCUGCUCAUCUGUGAGUGAGCUCUUCUGCUGUGAUUCAAGUGCACUGUUUGCAAAAAGGUAAUGCAGCCAUGACUUUUGGGGAGGUGCUUAUUCAGGAAUAAUGUAAAUUCUAGAGAAGACUUCUGCCUUUCAGGUACAACUGAGAUAAUAUGCAGCUGCCAACCCUUAGUGAAUCUUACCUUGGCCAGUUGUGCUUGG
Long non-coding RNA from Anas platyrhynchos (mallard), 5091 nucleotides. RefSeq lists it as uncharacterized. The record is from RefSeq and is a predicted model, not a curated record. Lineage: Eukaryota; Metazoa; Chordata; Aves; Anseriformes; Anatidae.